AUGCAAGUCGAACGAUGAUCUCCAGCUUGCUGGGGGGAUUAGUGGCGAACGGGUGAGUAACACGUGAGUAACCUGCCCUUGACUCUGGGAUAAGCCUGGGAAACUGGGUCUAAUACCGGAUAUGACUGCUCCGCGCAUGCGGUGGUGGUGGAAAGCUUUUGCGGUUUUGGAUGGACUCGCGGCCUAUCAGCUUGUUGGUGGGGUAAUGGCCUACCAAGGCGACGACGGGUAGCCGGCCUGAGAGGGUGACCGGCCACACUGGGACUGAGACACGGCCCAGACUCCUACGGGAGGCAGCAGUGGGGAAUAUUGCACAAUGGGCGAAAGCCUGAUGCAGCGACGCCGCGUGAGGGAUGACGGCCUUCGGGUUGUAAACCUCUUUCAGUAGGGAAGAAGCGUAAGUGACGGUACCUGCAGAAGAAGCGCCGGCUAACUACGUGCCAGCAGCCGCGGUAAUACGUAGGGCGCAAGCGUUAUCCGGAAUUAUUGGGCGUAAAGAGCUCGUAGGCGGUUUGUCGCGUCUGCUGUGAAAGACCGGGGCUCAACUCCGGUUCUGCAGUGGGUACGGGCAGACUAGAGUGAUGUAGGGGAGACUGGAAUUCCUGGUGUAGCGGUGAAAUGCGCAGAUAUCAGGAGGAACACCGAUGGCGAAGGCAGGUCUCUGGGCAUUAACUGACGCUGAGGAGCGAAAGCAUGGGGAGCGAACAGGAUUAGAUACCCUGGUAGUCCAUGCCGUAAACGUUGGGCACUAGGUGUGGGGGACAUUCCACGUUUUCCGCGCCGUAGCUAACGCAUUAAGUGCCCCGCCUGGGGAGUACGGCCGCAAGGCUAAAACUCAAAGGAAUUGACGGGGGCCCGCACAAGCGGCGGAGCAUGCGGAUUAAUUCGAUGCAACGCGAAGAACCUUACCAAGGCUUGAC
This 920-nucleotide ribosomal RNA is filed under the name Arthrobacter sp. Its description in RNAcentral is "bacterial SSU rRNA". It matches the Rfam family "Bacterial small subunit ribosomal RNA", at positions 55 to 985 of the family's 1533-position model. The record is from RNAcentral. Lineage: Bacteria; Bacillati; Actinomycetota; Actinomycetes; Micrococcales; Micrococcaceae.